This 426-nucleotide ribosomal RNA is filed under the name Humerana miopus. RNAcentral's name for it is "partial 16S rRNA". It matches the Rfam family "Bacterial large subunit ribosomal RNA", at positions 1970 to 2564 of the family's 2925-position model. The record is from RNAcentral. Lineage: Eukaryota; Metazoa; Chordata; Amphibia; Anura; Ranidae.
UGUUCUCUAAAUAAGGACUAGUAUCAACGGCAUCACGAGGGCUACACUGUCUCCUUUCUCCAAUCAGUGAAACUGAUCUCCCCGUGAAGAAGCGGGAAUAAAAAUAUAAGACGAGAAGACCCCAUGGAGCUUCAAGCACCGUAUUCAUCUACUUUUUUCCACAGCAACUUAACUUUAAACCUGAAUACUAGCUUUUGGCUGGGGGGGCCGCGGAGUACAACCUAACCUCCGCAACAAAUGGGCUACGCCCUUAUCUAUGAAUUACCACUCUAAGAAUUAACAAAUUAAUGUACUUUGACCCGACUAAUCGAUCAACGAACCAAGUUACCCUGGGGAUAACAGCGCUAUCUACUUCAAGAGCUCAUAUCGACAAGUAGGUUUACGACCUCGAUGUUGGAUCAGGGUAUCCCAGUGGUGCAGCCGCUA